ACAUUUACUAUUUCUAUUUCCUUUGUAUUUUCUUCAGUAGCCAGUGACACCACAUUUACUAUCCUUGGCAUCAUUAAGGAGUCUUCAUUUUCUGUUCAGUGUUCAUUUUCUUGUCACCUUGACUGGAGUCCCUUCCAUUCUGAAACAGAACAUUAAAAAGGCAGUUAAACUUAGUCCUGCAGAGAAGCUCCAGUCAGCUUGACAGAACUGCACUCUCCUUGCCAAUUGGUAUUCUUUACCUGGAGGGAUACAACAAGAUGGACAGUGGAGUUUGGAACGUUUUUCAGCUCUGGAAACUGAACUACUGUAGUUAGCCUAAUACCGCAAAACAAAACUCAUCUGUGCCAUACACUCCAUACACUCCAAUUUCUGACUGAGUCAUGAAAAUAUUUACACACUUUUUAACCACAGAGGAAGUUACAUUCUCAACAACAGAAUUUUUGCAAGAAGUUCAAAUUCUGUGAGAAGUUAAGUUUGGAUGGUAAAACUGGAGAAAUUAGUAUAAAGAGAAGUUAAGGAAAGGAAAGGCAAACAGUAGAAAAUUUACGCACACACCUUGGACCCAAAGAUCCAAGGCAAGUGACAGCAGCAAUCUCAACUGGUCACAGUGGUUUCCAUGGUUCGCAAAUAAAUUGUGUUAUAGUAAAAACAUUUUGCUGCCAGAUUUGUUUUACAAAUU
This is a non-coding RNA of Podarcis muralis (Common wall lizard), 679 nucleotides long. The record is from RefSeq and is a predicted model, not a curated record. Lineage: Eukaryota; Metazoa; Chordata; Lepidosauria; Squamata; Lacertidae.